GGAUUAGAUACCCUGGUAGUCCACGCCCUAAACGAUGGACACUAGUUGUCGGAGUUCCUAAUAGCUUCGGUGACGUAGCAAACGCGUUAAGUGUCCCGCCUGGGGAGUACGGUCGCAAGAUUAAAACUCAAAGGAAUUGACGGGGGCCCGCACAAGCGGUGGAGCAUGUGGUUUAAUUCGAUGCUACGCGAAAAACCUUACCUGGGUUUGACAUCCCGGGCUACUCUGUGAAAGCAGAGGUUCUCUUCGGAGACUCGGUGACAGGUGCUGCAUGGCUGUCGUCAGCUCGUGCCG
This 294-nucleotide ribosomal RNA is filed under the name uncultured bacterium. RNAcentral describes it as "partial 16S ribosomal RNA". It matches the Rfam family "Bacterial small subunit ribosomal RNA", at positions 775 to 1067 of the family's 1533-position model. The record is from RNAcentral.